RNAcentral lists this ribosomal RNA (500 nucleotides) under uncultured bacterium. Its description in RNAcentral is "partial 16S ribosomal RNA". It matches the Rfam family "Bacterial small subunit ribosomal RNA", at positions 28 to 523 of the family's 1533-position model. The record is from RNAcentral.
GUUGAACGCUGGCGGAAUGCUUUACACAUGCAAGUCGAACGGCAGCACGGACUUCGGUCUGGUGGCGAGUGGCGAACGGGUGAGUAAUGUAUCGGAACGUGCCCAGUCGUGGGGGAUAACGUAGUGAAAAUUACGCUAAUACCGCAUACGAUCUAUGGAUGAAAGCGGGGGAUCGCAAGACCUCGCUGGAGUGGAGCGGCCGAUAUCAGAUUAGGGAGUUGGUGGGGUAAAGGCCCACCAAGCCAACGAUCUGUAGCUGGUCUGAGAGGACGACCAGCCACGCUGGAACUGAGACACGGUCCAGACUCCUACGGGAGGCAGCAGUGGGGAAUUUUGGACAAUGGGCGAAAGCCUGAUCCAGCCAUUCCGCGUGCAGGAUGAAGGCCCUCGGGUUGUAAACUGCUUUUGUACAGGACGAAAAGGUUUCUACUAAUACUAGGAGCUCAUGACGGUACUGUAAGAAUAAGCACCGGCUAACUACGUGCCAGCCGCCGCCGUAA